RNAcentral lists this long non-coding RNA (511 nucleotides) under Coffea arabica (coffee). RNAcentral's name for it is "long non-coding RNA (CARA_LNC006932)". The record is from RNAcentral. Lineage: Eukaryota; Viridiplantae; Streptophyta; Magnoliopsida; Gentianales; Rubiaceae.
AAAGUUCUAGACCAUUUCAUAAGACUCUUGAACAACCUAGAACGUUUCGGAAGCCUCUAGGGCUUGCUACAUACUUCUAGCAAUAUUUGUUGUAGCUUCCAUGGUUUAGGCAAGCCUCCAUGGCUUGCUACUUGUUUGGGGGAUUGAGGUAUGGGUCUAUUGGGGUCCUGAUUUUUCUAUUGAGACACUAUAUAUGGUACUGCAUGAAUGACCGGCCAGUGACGGACGGGCACGAUCACGCGUGGACAGAGUGCGAUUCGUGUCACUAGGAAGGUGUCAAAGUUCGGUUGUUAGUGUUAAAUAGUAUGCUUCUUGCCUAAAGCACUCUCCAGAGACCAUUUUAAUUUGGAGAGGUUGCAAGUUACUAGUGUAGGAAGGUGUCAAAGGCUUGCUGCAAAGUUUCUUAUCAAUCAAUAUAAUAUUGUAGUGUUUUGCAUAUUUUUUUUUGUCCCUAGUCAUUAAAAAUCCUGCACUUAUUUGCUCUUUUUAUCUGUCGCUAUAUACUCCUGCU